UUGCCCUUACCUUGAAGUACUUUUAUUCAGGCUUUUGCACUUUAGAUCUUGCUUGGAAAGGUCACCAACCUAUUUUUGAUGUCAUGGUUUAUAUUUUUCAGUUGGUCACCUAUCCAAAUGGCUAGUAGCUCUUAUUUUUGUGCUUUUAAGGUCUAUGCCUUUGCUGAAUUUUCUUUCUCUCAAUGACUUGGGCAAAUCAACACCAAUUGCUAAAUCAAGUCAUGUUAAGUUCAUUCACACAACUUUGAUUUAUUCUCAAUCAAUUGAGGGUCAUCAAUACAUUUUUCACCAUGGCAAACUCAAAGAUUCAAUUCAAGAGGCAAUUCUCAAACAUGAAUACAACUCACUGCAAUUGAUUCAACAUAAGUUUAAAGAGUUAUCACAUCAAUGGGGUCAUGGCAAGAAAAACUCAUCCAACAUAGUUCAUCAGUUUAAGUAGAGCAAAACAAAAAGAAGAAGAAGGUUGUGGUUGUGUG
RNAcentral lists this long non-coding RNA (476 nucleotides) under Manihot esculenta (cassava). RNAcentral describes it as "long non-coding RNA (MESC_LNC001683)". Lineage: Eukaryota; Viridiplantae; Streptophyta; Magnoliopsida; Malpighiales; Euphorbiaceae. The record is from RNAcentral.